AAAGCUCAAAUUUGAAAUCUGGCUCUUUUAGGGUCCGAGUUGUAAUUUGUAGAAGAUGUUUCGGGUGUGGCUCCGGUUUAAGUUCUUUGGAAUAUUACAUCAUAGAGGGUGAGAAUCCCGUAUGUGACCGGCAGCCUUCGCCUAUGUGAAACUCUUUCGACGAGUCGAGUUGUUUGGGAAUGCAGCUCAAAAUGGGAGGUAUAUUUCUUCUAAAGCUAAAUAUUGGCCAGAGACCGAUA
The sequence is a ribosomal RNA, 239 nucleotides long. It matches the Rfam family "Eukaryotic large subunit ribosomal RNA", at positions 104 to 339 of the family's 3401-position model.